RNAcentral lists this ribosomal RNA (442 nucleotides) under uncultured bacterium. RNAcentral's name for it is "partial 16S ribosomal RNA". It matches the Rfam family "Bacterial small subunit ribosomal RNA", at positions 338 to 795 of the family's 1533-position model. The record is from RNAcentral.
CCUACGGGAGGCAGCAGUAGGGAAUCUUUCACAAUGGGCGAAAGCCUGAUGGAGCAACGCCGCGUGCAGGAUGAAGGCCUUCGGGUUGUAAACUGCUUUUAUAAGCGAGAAAUAUGAUGGUAACUUAUGAAUAAGGAUCGGCUAACUACGUGCCAGCAGCCGCGGUCAUACGUAGGAUCCGAGCAUUAUCCGGAGUGACUGGGUGUAAAGAGUUGCGUAGGUGGCAUAAUAAGUAGCGAGUGAAAUCUGGUGGCUCAACCAUUCAGACUAUUAGCUAAACUGUUAAGCUCGAGACCGUUAGAGGUAACUGGAAUUUCGAGUGUAGGAGUGAAAUCCGUAGAUAUUAGAAGGAACACCAAUAGCGUAGGCAGGUUGCUGGGACGGUUCUGACACUAAGGCACGAAAGCGUAGGGAGCAAACGGGAUUAGAUACCCCAGUAGUC